GGAGGUAUCGCUCAGUGAUAGAGUGCAUGCCUAGAAUGCACAAGGUCCUGGGUUCAAUCCUCAGUCCCUGCA
RNAcentral lists this transfer RNA (72 nucleotides) under Camelus bactrianus (Bactrian camel). It matches the Rfam family "tRNA". Rfam says of the family: Transfer RNA (tRNA) molecules are approximately 80 nucleotides in length. The record is from Rfam by way of RNAcentral. RNAcentral also lists the same sequence under 2 other names. Lineage: Eukaryota; Metazoa; Chordata; Mammalia; Artiodactyla; Camelidae.